GGGCAGGACUGAAGUUUUGGGUCAAUCAAGGACCAUCACAAUGUCCCAAAGGUGGGAGAGGAACUGUAUCAUCUAUAAGAAAAGGUCUGUGGAGUUGUGGAUGACCUGAGACUGGACUUGGAGAGUG
RNAcentral lists this long non-coding RNA (127 nucleotides) under Monodelphis domestica (gray short-tailed opossum). Its description in RNAcentral is "lncRNA (ENSMODG00000032768.2)". Lineage: Eukaryota; Metazoa; Chordata; Mammalia; Didelphimorphia; Didelphidae. The record is from RNAcentral.